GCCGGGGUAGCCAAGCCAGGUAAGGCGUCGGAUUUGAGAUCCGAUGGCCCUUCGGGCCUCCUGGGUUCAAAUCCCAGCCCCGGCG
Molecule: transfer RNA, 85 nt
Filed under: Hadesarchaea archaeon
Lineage: Archaea; Methanobacteriati; Hadarchaeota (SeqCode); Hadarchaeia (SeqCode)
Description: tRNA-Ser
Rfam family: tRNA
About the family: Transfer RNA (tRNA) molecules are approximately 80 nucleotides in length. Their secondary structure includes four short double-helical elements and three loops (D, anti-codon, and T loops). Further hydrogen bonds mediate the characteristic L-shaped molecular structure. tRNAs have two regions of fundamental functional importance: the anti-codon, which is responsible for specific mRNA codon recognition, and the 3' end, to which the tRNAs corresponding amino acid is attached (by aminoacyl-tRNA synthetases). tRNAs cope with the degeneracy of the genetic code in two manners: having more than one tRNA (with a specific anti-codon) for a particular amino acid; and 'wobble' base-pairing, i.e. permitting non-standard base-pairing at the 3rd anti-codon position.
Source: RNAcentral